UACGAAGGGGGCUAGCGUUGCUCGGAAUCACUGGGCGUAAAGCGCACGUAGGCGGCUUUCUAAGUCAGGGGUGAAAUCCCAGGGCUCAACCCUGGAACUGCCUUUGAUACUGUCGAUCUGGAGUAUGGAAGAGGUGAGUGGAAUUCCGAGUGUAGAGGUGAAAUUCGUAGAUAUUCGGAGGAACACCAGUGGCGAAGGCGGCUCACUGGUCCAUUACUGACGCUGAGGUGCGAAAGCGUGGGGAGCAAACAGG
RNAcentral lists this ribosomal RNA (253 nucleotides) under uncultured bacterium. RNAcentral's name for it is "partial 16S ribosomal RNA". It matches the Rfam family "Bacterial small subunit ribosomal RNA", at positions 524 to 776 of the family's 1533-position model. The record is from RNAcentral.